Molecule: transfer RNA, 68 nt
Filed under: Mytilus trossulus (common blue mussel)
Lineage: Eukaryota; Metazoa; Mollusca; Bivalvia; Mytilida; Mytilidae
Description: tRNA-Phe
Rfam family: tRNA
About the family: Transfer RNA (tRNA) molecules are approximately 80 nucleotides in length.
Source: RNAcentral
GAUACAGUAGCUUAAUUAAAGCGUCUCAUUGAAAAUGAGGAAGAUGGAUGCUUUAGUACCUUGUGUCA